AUUGAACGCUGGCGGCAGGCCUAACACCUGCAAGUCGAACGAGUGGCGGACGGGUGAGUAAUGUCUGGGAAACUGCCUGAUGGAGGGGGAUAACUACUGGAAACGGUAGCUAAUACCGCAUACCAUCAGAUGUGCCCAGAUGGGAUUAGCUAGUUGGUGGUGUAACGGCUCUCCAAGGCGACGAUCCCUAGCUGGUCUGAGAGUAUGACCAGCCACACUGGAACUUAUACACGGUCCAGACUCCUACGGGAUGCAGCAGUGGUGAAUAGUGCACAAUGGGCGCAAGCCUUAUGCAGCCAUGCCGCGUGUAGGAAGAAGGCCGUCGGGUUGUAAAGUACUUUCAGCGGGGAGGCGUUACCCGCAGAAGAAGCACCGGCUAACGCCGUGCCAGCAGCCGCGGUAAUUC
Molecule: ribosomal RNA, 406 nt
Filed under: uncultured bacterium
Lineage: Bacteria
Description: partial 16S ribosomal RNA
Rfam family: Bacterial small subunit ribosomal RNA
Source: RNAcentral